Molecule: ribosomal RNA, 424 nt
Filed under: uncultured cyanobacterium
Lineage: Bacteria; Bacillati; Cyanobacteriota
Description: bacterial SSU rRNA
Rfam family: Bacterial small subunit ribosomal RNA
Source: RNAcentral
GGGGAAUUUUCCGCAAUGGGCGAAAGCCUGACGGAGCAACGCCGCGUGAGGGAAGAAGGCCUCUGGGCUGUAAACCUCUUUUCUCAAGGAAGAAGAUCUGACGGUACUUGAGGAAUAAGCCACGGCUAAUUCCGUGCCAGCAGCCGCGGUAAUACGGGAGUGGCAAGCGUUAUCCGGAAUUAUUGGGCGUAAAGCGUCCGCAGGCGGCCUUUCAAGUCUGCUGUUAAAGCGUGGAGCUUAACUCCAUUAAGGCAGUGGAAACUGUUGGGCUUGAGUGUGGUAGGGGCAGAGGGAAUUCCCGGUGUAGCGGUGAAAUGCGUAGAUAUUGGGAAGAACACCAGUGGCGAAGGCGCUCUGCUGGGCCGUAACUGACACUCAUGGACGAAAGCUAGGGGAGCGAAAGGGAUUAGAUACCCCUGUAGUC